UCUAUUUAGUGUGUGAGAGGAAAUUAGAAUGGUAGCUUAGCCCUAAUAUCUUAUUUUAGUUGACUCUGUAGAUCCGUAGAUCCUCUAACAUUGCUUGACUGUCUGUAUUGGCUGGUUGGUUUCAGUGGUGGAAAAAGUACUCAAUUGCCAUACUUGAGUAAAAGUAAAGAUAACUUAAUAGAAAAUUACUCAAGUAUUAAAGUGAUAGUCACCCAGUGAAAUACUACAUAAGUAAAUGUCUAAAUAUAUUUGGUAUUAAAUAUACUCAAGUAUCAAAAGUAAAUGUAAUUGCUAAAAUAUACUUACAGUUCCUUCAGAAAGUAUUCAUACCACUUGACUUAUUCCUCGUUUUGUUGUGUUACAGCCUGAAUUCAAAAUGAAUUAAAUCUAUUUUUUCUCCCUCGCCCAUUUACACACAAUACUCAAUAAUGGCAAAGUGAAAACAUGUUUUUAGACAUUUUUGCACAUUUAUUGAAAAUGAUUUCACACCCCUGAGUAAAUACAUCAGAAUCACCUUUGGCAGAAACUAUAGCUGUGAGCCUUUCUGGGUAAGUCUCUAACUGUCACGUCCUGACCAUAGAGAGCCCUUAUUUUCUAUGGUGGAGUAGGUCAGGGUGUGACUGGGGGUUUAGUCUAGUUUAUUAUUUCUAUGUGGGGUUCUAGUUUUGUUUUUCUAUGUUGGUGAUUUUGUAUGAUUCCCAAUUAGAGGAAGCUGGUAUAGUUGUCUCUAAUUGGGGAUCAUAUUUAAGUAGCAUUUUUUUCCACCUGUGUUUUGUAGGAUAUUGUUUAUGUGUAGUUGCAUGUUAGCACUCCAUUGUCAUCACGUUUUGUUUAUUCUUUAUUGUUUUGUUGUGUGGUUCACUUACUUUAAAUAAAAAAGAUGUGGAACCCAGAUCACGCUGCACGUUGGUCCGAGUAUGCGUCCAAUGAUCGUGAAACUAACAGCUUUGCACAACUGGAUUGUACAAUAUUUGCACAUUAUUCUUUAAAAAGUUGGUUGUUGACCAUUGCUAGACAGCCAAUUUCUGUCAUGUUUCACCUGUCCUUGUGCUUGUCUCCACCCCUCCAGGUGUCGCCCAUCUUCCCCACUCAUCCUCUGGGGACACACUGUUGAUUGGGAAAGAGCACCCUCUGUCACGCUCAAGAGCCGGGGAUUUCACGGUCUGCUUCAGGACAUCGAACUGACAUCUGUGCCCAGUGGGUGAUUUGUCUUCUUUUAAUUAACGUACAACAGAGCAAGAAAACUGGCUGUAGGCAUCCAGCAGGUGAGUUCAGAGUGACACUGUGUACUACAUGAUCUAACAAGGCCAGAGGGCUUAUACACUGUAUACUAUUAUAAACAGGGUGGUUCGAGCCUUGAAUGCUGAUUGGCUGACAGCCGUGGUAUAUCAGACCAUAUUUUUACUGCUCUAAUUACGUUGGUAACCAGUUUAUAAUAGCAAUAAGGCACCUCGGGGGACUGUGGUAUAUUGGCCAUAUACCAUACCCCCUCUGGCCUUAUUGCUUAAUGCUUAAAUACACCGUGGGUCUCCUCUCCUUUUCAACCCUUCAGCAUAGGGGACAGGAAAAUACCUCUAUUGCCUGCUCCCAAUUUCACAGGGGCCUGCCCUCUUACCACUCUGGGGAAUGUCCAGCUGACAGACAGACUGAGAAAAGGCACUGGAGUAAGUUGAUGGAUACAUGCUGAUGGAAACAAAUGAUGGAUGCAGUGAGUACAGUUAUCCAACUUGUAUCACUUAUCAAUCCUUUUACAUGACCUAUAGUAGAGCACUUUAAAUUGAGAAAUCAAUUCAAAUCCAAAUGCAUUUGUCACAUGCUUCGUGAACAACAGGUGUAGACUAACAGUGAAAUGCUUACUUUUACAGUAUGUGAAAAUUGUUUUUCCACAUACUGUAAAAGUGCCAUUUACUAAUAUUGUUUAAAAUAUUGUCUAAGUAAACAGGGAGUCAAGGACAAACUUGUGUGACCUCCCACUGAUUGUUUCCUUAACCCACCAUGCCAUGCUUAUCAAACAAUAUAGAUCACAUAGACCCCACACAGCUUUUAGCACAAUACAUGUUUCCACUGAUGCUGUGCCUGACAUGGAAGAUGUCUGUGGGUGUCUAACCUGAGCUUUGGACCAUGAAUUUCAGUUAACCUUCAGUGGACUAAAUAACUACAGUAGCAUGCGAUGCGUGUACACACACACUCACAUGCACACAUGUACACACACACACACACACACACACACACACACACACACACACACACACACACACACACACACACACACACACACACACACACACACACACACACACACACACACACACACACACAUACAAGCCAGGGCAGCAACAGCAUAUAUCUUGGUCGACCAGAGUUAGAAUCCUGCAGGCCUGAUUAUAAUGGUAGACCACUGUUCUGUUUCGCCCUCCUGUGUCAUGGCGUAACACUGGGGCUUAAACACUAGCGUGAUUAAUUUGUCUCCACAGACAGAGCCACAGUCCAGUUAAACAGGCCCAUGUUGUGCAGGGUGGAGCUGAACUAGCGUGUCUUAUCUAAUAAAUCAAGAUGCUGAAGUGUAGUCCAUCUGCUUCUACUCUGGUUGACUCCCAAAUGGCACCCUAUUCCCUAUAUAUAGGGAAUAGGUUACCAUCAAUCAGUUUACCAUCAAUUGGAGUGUGCCUUCACAUGUCAGUCUUUGGUUCUCAUAAAUAUGCUGAUAAUUCCCUAUAAAUAUAUGCAAUUCUCUAAAGUAUUGAAUCACAUAGUGCACAGUGAAUUUAAAACCUUCUGUUGGUGGACCACAAAAGCAAUGGUAUAAUUAACUGCAUCCCAAACGGCACCCUAAUUCUCUUUACAGUGGACCACUUUUGACCAGUAGUAUUUUCUGGUCAAAAGUAGUGCACUAUAUAGGGAAUAGGGUGCCAUUUGGGAUGCAUACAUUGUGUAGGUUUAUUCACAAUGAAACAUGUCAUUCAUCAACUAAUCAAUAGACACAAAUCACAUACAGCAUUUGAUAACAAUUCAAGCCAUAACUCCACCAAUAAAUAGCAUGACAUACAUAAAAUGAGACUGAAAGUUGUCAGAGCCACAUACUCUUUUUUCGUGUCUUUACAAGUUGUCACAUAUUAUCACCCUCAAUUCUUUAUUGCCUAUUCACAGAGGCCUCCCAGAAUAUGGAGAACAGGGGGAGGGGUGGAAAAUAGAGUACCGCUUUCCCAGAUCGCAUUGUAUGAAAUUAUUUCAGCAUGCGUUUGAUUUCGCAGUGAAUGAAUGCCAAGUAAUCUUGUUUUUCUUGUCCUCCUACAUGUCUUUGAAGGGACUGUGCCACCAAAUGCCUGAAGACCUGUCACAAUGCUAAGUAUGACCUUGUGCUGUCUCUCAGCUGCUGCUGUAGGACCUUGUGUUGUCUCUCAGCUGCUGCUGUUGCUGCUUACAGUAAGAGUUGGAGUGUGUGUGUGUGUGUGUGUGUGUGUGUGUGUACAUAUCUCUGUGCCUGACUAUAUGCGUGUGUUUGUUUGCUCAUACUGGCAGCUGCUCAGGCAGCGUACAGCUUAACUCAGAAGUGUCCUAAAGCAGUGUAAAGGAUGGACACUGUACCAGGUGUGCUUCUGUGCAUGAAAGUGUUUAAGCAUAUUUAUGUAUGAAUACCUAUUUUUAGCCUUAACUUUCUCUCAUGUAAGGUGCUGAAUGGUGCUUUGAGGUUGUUGUAAUUCAACGUAUUAAAUGACAGGCCGCACCAGAGUCGUAUAAAUGGAGAGUUGCGCUUUCAAUCUGAACGUUCCAAGAGUGCCACUUUCUCCUCCAUAGCCGUUGCUAAGUGAUAAUUGACGCUUCGGCGUUGUGCUGUUUGUUUCUGAUAUUUUUCAAAACCAAUGAAGAUGCCCAGUCUAAACAGAUAUGCACUUUGUUGACACCACAACACAGUAGACUUGGAUGCACAUUAUUUAGCGAUUCAAUAAUAACGUCUGUUAAAUUCGCUAUUCUGUUUUGCUUGUUUACAGCAGGUAAUUACAUAGGGAAUUGUCAUAGCCGCUCUCGUAUUGUUAUAUCAGCAACAUUUCAAGAAUAAAGGAGCAAACAUGGUGGUCUGCCUACCCAUGUCAGAGACGCAAACUCUGUCUCAACCUUUAAGUCUUUACUGAAGACUCAUCUCUUCAGUGUGUCAUAUGAUAGAGUGUAGUCUGGCCCAGGAGUGGGAAGGUGAAUGGAAAGGCUCUGGAGCAACGAACCGCCCUUGCUGUCUCUGCCUGGCCGGUUCCCCUCUUUCCACUGGGAUUCUCUGCCUCUAACCCUAUUACAGGGGCUGAGUCACUGGCUUACUGGGGCUCUUUCAUGCCGUCCCUGGAAGGGAUGCGUCACCUGAGUGGGUUGAUUCACUGAUGUGGUCAUCCUGUCUGGGUUGGCGCCCCCCCUUGGGUUGUGCCAUGGCGGAGAUCUUUGUGGGCUAUACUCAGCCUUGUCUCAGGAUGGUAAGUUGGUGGUUGAAGAUAUCCCUCUAGUGGUGUGGGGGCUGUGCUUUGGCAAAGUGGGUGGGGUUAUAUCCUUCCUGUUUGGCCCUGUCCGGGGGUGUCCUCGGGUGGGGCCACAGUGUCUCCUGACCCCUCCUGUCUCAGCCUCCAGUAUUUAUGCUGCAGUAGUUUAUGUGUCGGGGGGCUAGGGUCAAUUUGUUAUAUCUGGAGUACUUCUCCUGUCCUAUUCGGUGUCCUGUGUGAAUUUAAGUGUGCUUUCUCUAAUUCUCUCUUUCUUUCUCUCUCUCGGAGGACCUGAGCCCUAGGACCAUGCCCCAGGACUACCUGACAUGAUGACUCCUUGCUGUCCCCAGUCCACCUGGCCGUGCUGCUGCUCCAGUUUCAACUGUUCUGCCUUAUUAUUAUUCGACCAUGCUGGUCAUUUAUGAACAUUUGAACAUUUUGGCCAUGUUCUGUUAUAAUCUCCACCCGGCACAGCCAGAAGAGGACUGGCCACCCCACAUAGCCUGGUUCCUCUCUAGGUUUCUUCCUAGGUUUUACACCUGCAUUGCUUGCUGUUUGGGGUUUUAGGCUGGGUUUCUGUACAGCACUUUGAGAUAUCAGCUGAUGUACGAAGGGCUAUAUAAAUAAAUUUGAUUUGAUUUGA
This is a long non-coding RNA of Oncorhynchus nerka (sockeye salmon), 5103 nucleotides long. RefSeq lists it as uncharacterized. The transcript is spliced from 2 exons. NCBI's taxonomy places the organism in Eukaryota, Metazoa, Chordata, Actinopteri, Salmoniformes, Salmonidae. The record is from RefSeq and is a predicted model, not a curated record.